This 301-nucleotide ribosomal RNA is filed under the name uncultured bacterium. RNAcentral's name for it is "partial 16S ribosomal RNA". It matches the Rfam family "Bacterial small subunit ribosomal RNA", at positions 509 to 809 of the family's 1533-position model. The record is from RNAcentral.
CAGCCGCCACGGUAAUACGAAGGGGGCUAGCGUUGCUCGGAAUGACUGGGCGUAAAGGGCGCGUAGGCGGAUGGCACAGUCAGAUGUGAAAUUCCCGGGCUUAACCUGGGGGCUGCAUUUGAUACGUGUUGUCUAGAGUGAGGAAGAGGGUCGUGGAAUUCCCAGUGUAGAGGUGAAAUUCGUAGAUAUUGGGAAGAACACCGGUGGCGAAGGCGGCGACCUGGUCCUUUACUGACGCUGAGGCGCGAAAGCGUGGGGAGCAAACAGGAUUAGAUACCCGCGUAGUCCCUGUCUCUUAUAA